CAGCUCUGUAAACUCUUCAUCUUGCACCUUGAUACCAAAGUAGUUCUUGUUUAAUACCACAUACAGUAGAGCUCUUUUGUAUUUUUGAAGACCAUGCCCAGCAGCGUUUUUUUAAAUGUCAAUAUAGUGGACAAACGUAUCGUAUGUACAAUAAUCUUAGGUCUUUAUGUUGCAUACAGGUAAUAUAUCCAUCGGAAAAAAAGACACUCCUGUUGGAUUCACUUGGAGAAACUGCUGCCAAGCUGAAAAAGGGCCAGGAUGUAACAAGAGCAUUCAUGAGGAAGAAAGGGAUAAAUGUGUCCAGAUGGAAAUGCGACACAGUGCCUCAUCCACACCAACCAGACAGCACCUCUUGUGGGGUUUUUGCCAUCAAAUUCAUGGAGAAAAUCUUGAACGGUGAAGAGCUACAAUUCCCUGUUGGCCAAAAAGAUGUGGCAGAGUUACGUCGGCAGAUUGCCACAACUCUUCUUCGGGAAUCUGAUAAUCUGACAAACCUCUGCUUCAACUGUGGAGAGGAAAAAGCAGAUGACAGUGGAGAGGCAGAGCUGACAUGGAUAUCCUGUGAUGCCUGUGGACGGUGGUUUCACCAUGCAUGCGUUGGAAGGCCAAAGACAGAGGACAAUUUUUUAUGUGCAGCAUGCUAAAGGAAAGGAAAGGAAGUUCAUGUAUAUAUAUAAAAUAAGACAUUUUCUAUUGACAGUUUAUUUUUCAUUUUUUAAAUUAUUUUGAUGUUUUUGUUGAUGCGUUAAAUAUUGCAAAUGUUGCCAUUUAAUUUUGUGUUGAUUGGAUUUGAAUAAUAACAGUUUGUUCUAAAAAGUUAGUUAUUAAAGUCUUUAAUACUUG
Long non-coding RNA from Gadus morhua (Atlantic cod), 843 nucleotides. RefSeq lists it as uncharacterized. The transcript has 5 exons. The record is from RefSeq and is a predicted model, not a curated record. Lineage: Eukaryota; Metazoa; Chordata; Actinopteri; Gadiformes; Gadidae.